GUUUCCUCAGCUUUGUAUGUAAAGUGGAAAAAAUCUGUACUUGAUAUAUAUGAAUAAAGAAACUUUGGAUUUUGAUUUUAUAAAGUUGCUUUUGCUUAGGUAUGGAAUUUUUCCGCCAAGCUGGCAAACAAUGAGAAGAUGGUCCCUGUCAUCCAUGCUCUGGUGCCUAAUGUAGAGUUUCAAGUUGUCUACUAUAAACCCCACCAAACACAUGCAGCAUACGAGAGUAGAUAAUGGCUUAGUUUGUCUUUCAAGCUUUCUCGGUUUGUUUUGUUUUUACUUUGUACUGUAAAUUAUAAUGUCUACUCUAAAACUAUGUUAAGUAAGGAUCAAAUUUACAAGGAACCUUAUAGUCUCUAGUGAAUUAUGUUUUAGCUGAGUUUUAGCCAUGCCCUCUAACUAAGGAAUCAUUGUGAAAUACCUCAUGUUAGGAUAAUACAUUAAAUGGGGGAACGUAUGUAGAAUUAAUGUUUAGCACAAAAUGGUAAUAUUGUUAUAUUAUUAAGCCUAGAACUUCUUUCAGGUGCAGGAAAUAGUGGUAAGUUUAUUUGUAAUCAAACCAAAUUUGGAUAAUUUUCAAGCGUCAUUCAAGAGAUGUUUUAGCAUAAAAUGUUUUACCAGUUCAGAUCUUAUAUCCCUCACACAUUUUAAUCACUGUCUAUCAUAAUAGAGUUACAUAACAUACACAAAUAAAGUUAGUUUUUUCAUAUUAAUAAUCAUUCUAAUGAAGAGUUACCUCUCAAAUUGAAUAAAAGAAUAAAACAUUGUUAUUUACAA
Molecule: long non-coding RNA, 777 nt
Organism: Homalodisca vitripennis (glassy-winged sharpshooter)
Lineage: Eukaryota; Metazoa; Arthropoda; Insecta; Hemiptera; Cicadellidae
Exons: 2
Source: RefSeq, a predicted model, not a curated record